AUACGGAGGUGGCGAGCGUUGCCCGGAAUCACUGGGCGUAAAGCGCGCGCAGGCGGCUAUUUAAGUUGGAUGUGAAAGCCUACGGCUCAACCGUAGAACUGCAUCCAAAACUAUUUAGCUAGAGUGUGGGAGAGGAAGAUGGAAUUAGUUGUGUAGGGGUAAAAUCCGUAGAGAUAACUAGGAAUACCAAAAGCGAAGGCAAUCUUCUGGAACACUACUGACGCUGAGGCGCGAAAGCGUGGGGAGCAAACGGGAUUAGAAACCCUAGUAGUCC
RNAcentral lists this ribosomal RNA (274 nucleotides) under uncultured bacterium. Its description in RNAcentral is "partial 16S ribosomal RNA". It matches the Rfam family "Bacterial small subunit ribosomal RNA", at positions 523 to 796 of the family's 1533-position model. The record is from RNAcentral.